CCUACGGGAGGCAGCAGUGGGGGAUAUUGCACAAUGGGGGAAACCCUGAUGCAGCGACGCCGCGUGUGGGAAGAUGGUCCUCUGGAUUGUAAACCACUGUCCCCAGGGACGAAGAUGACGGUACCUGGGGAGGAAGCUCCGGCUAACUACGUGCCAGCAGCCGCGGUAAUACGUAGGGAGCGAGCGUUGUCCGGAAUUACUGGGUGUAAAGGGAGCGUAGGCGGGACUGCAAGUUGGGUGUAAAAUCUACGGGCUCAACCGGUAGCCGCACUCAAAACUGCAGUUCUUGAGUGAAGUAGAGGCAGGCGGAAUUCCUAGUGUAGCGGUGAAAUGCGUAGAUAUUAGGAGGAACACCAGUGGCGAAGGCGGCCUGCUGGGCUUUUACUGACGCUGAGGCUCGAAAGUGUGGGGAGCAAACAGGAUUAGAUACCCUUGUAGUC
This 440-nucleotide ribosomal RNA is filed under the name uncultured bacterium. RNAcentral's name for it is "partial 16S ribosomal RNA". It matches the Rfam family "Bacterial small subunit ribosomal RNA", at positions 338 to 795 of the family's 1533-position model. The record is from RNAcentral.